Mobula hypostoma (lesser devil ray) is the source of this 5709-nucleotide RNA transcript. It is a transcript of the gene named serine/threonine-protein kinase 35-like, with no coding region annotated. Lineage: Eukaryota; Metazoa; Chordata; Chondrichthyes; Myliobatiformes; Myliobatidae. The record is from RefSeq and is a predicted model, not a curated record. The transcript is spliced from 5 exons.
GGCAGCAGGAAAGGGCGGAGGCAAGGCAGCAGUGAGAGGCCGAGCUUCCCAGGAAUGAAUGAGAAGAGAGCAGCGUAGCGAGAGGCCCGUUCGGAGUUAGUUGCCUCGUUGGGAGCUCGCUUGAUUAUCGGCGCAGAGUGGGAAGCAGCUGUAGGUUAAUCACCCCCCCUUCCCUCCCUCCCUCCUCAGUGGCCGGGGUGCACCGUCACCCUGAGCUUGAACCGUGAGGGAGCGGCGGCGGAUGAGGCGCGCACCGCGGCUGCCUGCAGCCGGCUGUGGGACAGCACAGGGCCCGGCCGCCGCGGCUUGACUCACCCGGCACUCAGCUGCCUUUGCCUCAGUGAUGUGGAGCGUGAGCGUCUCCCCUCAGCGACGUGCGGAGCAUGGAAACUCGCGACGCCCCAAAAGGUACAAACCGUGAGGAGCGGUCAGCGGCGGGGAGUACCGCCGCCGCGCCGAGGCCGCCGGGCCUGUUGUGGGAACCCAAGUACAGCCUGGUGCAGGAGGUAGGCCGCGGCAGCUACGGCGUGGUGUACGAGGCGGUGGUGAGGAAGAGCGGCGCCCGGGUGGCCAUCAAGAAGAUCCGCUGCGACGCUCCGGAGAACGUGGAGCUGGCCCUGUCCGAGUUCUGGGCGCUGACCAGCCUGAAGCGGCAACACGAGAACGUGAUCCAGUUCGAGGAGUGCGUACUGCAGCGCAACGGCAUCGCCCAGAAGAUGAGCCAUGGCAACAAGCGCUCCGAGUUCUACCUGCGCCUGGUCGAGACCUCGCUGAAGGGCGAGCGCAUCCUGGGCGCUGGCGAGCCCUGUUACCUCUGGUUCGUUAUGGAGUUCUGCAACGGCGGCGACCUCAACCAGUACGUGCUGUCCCGGAGGCCCGACUCGGCCAUCAACACCAGCUUCAUGCUCCAGCUGACCAGCGCCAUCGCUUUUUUGCACAAGAACCACAUAGUCCACCGGGAUCUCAAGCCCGACAACAUUCUGAUUUCGGAGAAGUCAGGAGUUCCCAUUCUCAAAGUGGCCGAUUUCGGCCUCAGUAAAGUCUGCGUCGUGGGCGGUGGAGCAGCGAAUAACAAAAACGUGAACGUCAACAAGUGCUGGCUGUCCUCGGCCUGUGGCUCUGAUUUCUAUAUGGCCCCGGAGGUCUGGGAAGGACACUACACGGCUAAAGCGGAUAUUUUUGCUUUGGGAAUAAUUAUAUGGGCCAUGAUUGAACGUAUAACUUUUAUUGAUGCCGAGACUAAGAAAGAACUGCUUGGGACCUACGUUAGACAGGGCAGUGAGAUUGUACCUGUAGGGGAAGCAUUGCUAGAAAACCCAAAGAUGGAACUACAUAUCCCACAGAAAAGGAGAACUUUCAUGUCUGAAGGGAUCAAGCAACUAAUUAAAGACAUGUUGGCUGCUAAUCCACAGGAUCGCCCAGACGCCUUUGAGUUAGAAACUAGGAUGGACCAGGUCAUUUGUGCUGCCUAAGUUAUCUAUUGUACAAUGGAAACUUGUAAAAGUUCUUGGCUUCCCACCCUCAACCUUUCUUCAACUGUUGAAAUGUGAAAUAUGUCUAAGCUCAUUGUUACUUUGGGUUGUUGAUGAGCAGGCCUAGGAUUUAAAAUCGGAGAAUGUCUUUCAUGUGCUUUGCUGAUUUCAGUAUGCUGCAUAGCAUGUUAUUUCAGCAGCCAAUUUGAAGCAAGUUUUGUUUAGAAAAAGAUCUUUUUACAAUGACCUCCCAGUUCUGGAAACACAUUUUUGCUUCUCCACCCACCCCACUUUCUUUGUGUUUGACUCUGAAUUACCUCAUUUUAAUCUCUUGUGUCAUUACCAUGUUUGUAAUUCCCUAGAGGAGCUUUGUUUUCUCAUGGGGGGAAAAAGCAAAUAAACUGGACGUAAUUUUCAACUUAUGAGCAACUUCUGCAGAUAACAUAGGGAAAAGUGCCUCUGCCAUGAACCUACUUUAUCAUUCAAUAAAUAUGGAGUAUCAUCUGACAUCAAGAAAACUGACAUGUAGAGGUGGAGAACUUGGAACAUAAGCUUUUUCUCAAGUGGAUGGGACUUUCCAUAGAAAUAAAGCUGAACAGCUUCCUUAUCAUACAAGGAUUGGAGACUUGCCACAUUUAGAGCUUCAGUGCUAGCUCAUGUCAGGACGAGGAAAGCUAUGCAAUUAAAUUGCUCAGAUCAUUUUUUGUGUGGGGAGGGUGCUGAGAAGGUGGGGGGAUAUUUUGGGGGUUUGGGAAAGAUGUUGACCAUGCAAUUAAACUUGUAUUUACACUAUUUCAUUGUACCUUCACUUUAUCUGAUUAAAUGGUGUCCUUGAACAUUUAAUUGGGUGGAUUGAAUUCUUAAUAGUUGUAUGACCCUUGUGUUUAUCUUUUAUUUUUUUGUAAAGUUAUGUAAGUAACAAAAAAUAGAAGCAUCUGCACUUGUCUUUCUGUGUGAUUUUUAAAAUGAUCAGCAUAAAUGACCAGAGUGCCUUAAAUUAUAGAUUUACUGAUGCUAAAUUGAAUUUUAGAAACUCCUAGCUACAAGUAGUUUUUUUUCUCUCUCUCUUACUGUAUUGGGAGAUAGUUCUAAUGGCCUGGGUUGAAGUGUGUCUGGUAAUCUGAUAACCUAGCAAAGAUUGAUUCAGUCAUAAAUUUAGUAGCUUCGUCAAAUGUAGAAUUGAAUAAACAUAACUGUUUGGAAGUUAAAAGUUAACACUUACCAUUUGCACCAGCCUUGCCCCCAACUCAUCACUUCACCCCUUGUAUUUAUAUUAAAAAAAAGUGGAACCAGAAAACUGGGUUAUAUAGAGUUAGGUAUUUGGAUUGAGGAUAAAGGAAAUAAAAAUCUAAUUGCUCAGCAACCACAUUUUAAAAUGCACAUCAGUCAAUUUUACAGGUCACUGAGGUCGUUAAUGUGGAAAUUAGAAAAUUGCCUAUGUUGAUUUUCUUGAAGUAUGUAAACAUACUCAAUGCUGUGAUGGCAGGUUUGAGACUUAAAAAAAUCCAAGUUUUCAGCACUCCUGAUUUUCCAUCAGUGUUUCUAGAAGAAUUGAAUGUUGUGAUUUAAGGUGUGCUAGCCUCUGCAUCAUGAAUGGAGUCUCAAUUUUGGUACUAUUAUCAAUUACUGUGCAAUAAGUGACUUGAGGUCCUUGAUGCUGAUACAGUGUAUACCAAAGUAGAAAAGCUUGACCUUUAACCAUUCAGUACAAAGAAAAUAUCCUCCUGUUAACAGGUAAUUAGAAUAAUUUGUUUUAUUUUUGCCACUAGUUUGAACAUGUAGUAUGGAGGCUGGCUCUCCAAAGUAUUCUAAAGGAUCCCCAGUACACACAUUACUACUAGGAUGAAACCUGAGAAUUAUGACCAAGAUAUGCAAGUGCCAUCAACUUGCGUCAUCUUAAAAUCUGAUGAUGAACCAAUCUGGUUUUCUUCCAAUGAAGUUUUAUCACAUUCUAACUUGAUCUAUCACUUGAAUAUCAAAAGUGGUUUAUUAUUUUCAAUGUCAGUUGCAAUAUCAGAACCAUUAUGGAGUGUAAACUUUGAAUUUAAUGAUACAUUGUGAAAAUAUUUUUAAAAGUCUUCAAGCUUUGAGCAUUGGACUGUAGAUGUGAUCAAGACAUAAAUAUAUGGAAACCAUUUUUAAUUCGUUUGUAUAGCAUUAUUUAUAUAAGCUUAAUAUAUGGCUUUCUCUUUCAGAAUACUGAGUAAUUUGAACAAAUUUGACGAUCAGGUGUAAAGUUUAUUUGUCAAAAGGUAAUCUGUAAAUAUUUGCCUUUUUUUGAGAAAGUGACCAUAUUUACUUAUUUCUACAAUUGAUUUUGUGGUUUGCACUUGGCUUUGCUUAACUCUGUAGCCUAAGCACUAUAAUACAUCACUCUAGUAAUGAAACUGAGGGCAAAUUUUAAAACACUGGCCUUUAGUUACAAAGAUCUGAAACAAUUGCCAAGGUGAGGGUUUACUGUUUCCAGAGAUUAAACAAAAUCUUAUUAAGCUUUUCAUAUCAACACCUUAAUGGAUCAGAGAAAUUUCAAGGUUUUCUCCCCAGUUUGGGGAUUCAAGAUAUAACUUUGGUCGAUACUACUAAUUAGCAAUUGAAAUAGAUGAAGUGUUAAAUUCUUGAAAACUUUGAAUUGUUACAUUUACAUAUUACUUAGGAAUGCUCCUUUAUUUAAAAUCUACAUGCUGUUAAUUCAUUUGGAGCAAAAUGCAAGGAUAUAAUUUUAAUGUUUAAUUUUGGAAACUGAGUUGAAAUGUGCAGAACUGUUUUUUUAAUUGGGAUUCUUAAUCUGCAAAUUGAGUCUUUAACCUUAGUAUUUCUAAGAAUGUAUCAGAUUAAACCUGUAUCAAAUGAUGCUUAUCUUUAGUGAUGCCCUUCCCCAUUUGGGCCAGAUAAAAUGAGUACUCUGUAUUUGCUGAUAUGUGGAUAUUUUUAUAAUUGAUGUUACAGACUUUCCCUUCAUCCCUGGAGCAGUAUUUUAUGCUGAAUGUACUUUGAGUAUUUGUGUAAUGUUCUAUUAUGUAUUUAGUGUGUUAGAACAUAGCAAGUUAAAGAAAAGUAAUGUGUUCUCCAGUAAUUGUUAGAGCUGAAAAUUAUACUCAAGAACAUUUGUAGGAUUCAAGGCAUAGUUCUUAAGAAUUAAAACAAGUCCUUACUAUAUAGGGACGCUGCCAAAAAGUAUCUUUAAAAAAUACUUAAAGCCAAGAAUGCUCCAAAUGUAGUUUUUGAAAAUAAAUUAAUACAGUUUUGAAUUACCUUGUUUACCAGAUCAAUAUGACCACUUAAGCAUCAGGAAGUUAGCUGAAUUUCAAACAAAUAAAUGGAGGCUGAAUUGAAAAUAGAAAAAUCUGAAAUGUGUAUUGAAACUAAAGCAUUGAUGCUUCUACUAAUGGGAAGAACAUCUCAAUGACUUUUUGCCCAACUUGCAUUAAUUGACCAUCAGACAUAAAUAUGUACUUGCUUUUCUUUUGCCAUAUAACUUAAUGUCCUUUGAAGCCAGGAUGACAAUGUGGCUUGGGUAUUGCAGGAAGAUGGCACUUGCAUAUUGAGAUCAAAUCCAAACUGAAGAUCUUGAGUUGCAGUGCUUGUUAAUCUAGGGAUAAACAUGCUAUAGUUUGAUGUAAUGUGUACUUUCCUCUACAGUUUGGCUUAUGUAACUGCAUGGACAUGUCGCAACAAAUCUUUUUACAAUCUUAGCAGCUAAAAUACAGGAAAAGAUGUGUCUACUGGUAGAUGAGCUGUUCUUUUCAAAGUUACUUCGGACUAUGAUUCUGGAAAUGGAGGGAAGAAAUGAGGGAACAGAUUCUGAGCAUUUUGUAUAGGGACACUGCUAGUUGUAACUGUGAGCGUUUAGGAUAUGUUUACUGAAGAGUUUUUGUGGUUUACAGAAGGAUUUGUUUCAAGAGAAUCCUUGUUUGUUUCUACCUCGUAUGCAGGACAUCACUCAAGUCUUGCUGGCUGAUGUAACACUGCUUGUAUGGUUGAUUUUUGCGAAUGCAUUAAGUUGCUUCCAAGAAUCUUUACUUCUAUGCAAAUUUUUUGUAUUCAAAUUUGAAACACUGUAAUACCAUAAUAUCUUUGUUGGUCCUUCUGCAUGGAACACAUCUUGUGGACCAAUAUUGAAUAUUGUUUCAUUUUCUUAUUUAACAUGAUUUGUAGUUUGGACUGGAGCCAUUUGAAUCUUCUAAUAUUGUCUUGGGAAGAAAUUUUGACAUGUUAUUUCAGCAAUAAAGGGUUUUAA